CCUACGGGUGGCAGCAGUGAGGAAUAUUGGUCAAUGGGCGCUAGCCUGAACCAGCCACGUAGCGUGAAGGAUGACUGCCCUCUGGUUUGUAAACUUCUUUUAUAUGGGCGUAAAGUGCAGUGUUUAUACUGCUUUGCAUGUACCUUAUGAAUGAGGAUCGGCUAACUACGUGCCAGCAGCCGCGGUAAUACGGAGGAUCCGAGCGUUAUCCGGAUUUAUUGGGUUUAACGGGAACGUAGGCGGGUUGUUAAGUCAGUUGUGAAAGUUUGCGGCUCAACCGUAAAAUUGCAGUUGAUACUGGCAUCCUUGAGUACAGUAGAGGCAGGCGGAAUUCGUGGUGUAGCGGUGAAAUGCGUAGAUAUCACGAAGAACUCCGAUUGCGAAGGCAGCCUGCUGGACUGUAACUGACGCUGAUGCUCGAAAGUGUGGGUAUCAAACAGGAUUAGAUACCCCAGUAGUC
Molecule: ribosomal RNA, 460 nt
Filed under: uncultured bacterium
Lineage: Bacteria
Description: partial 16S ribosomal RNA
Rfam family: Bacterial small subunit ribosomal RNA
Source: RNAcentral